Molecule: ribosomal RNA, 883 nt
Filed under: uncultured Candidatus Saccharibacteria bacterium
Lineage: Bacteria; Candidatus Saccharimonadota
Description: bacterial SSU rRNA
Rfam family: Bacterial small subunit ribosomal RNA
Source: RNAcentral
GUAGGUGGUUUGUUAAGUGAAUAGUGAAAUCUGGGGGCUCAACCUCACAGACUAUUAUUCAAACUGGCAAACUCGAGAAUGGUAGAGGUAACUGGAAUUUCUAGUGUAGGAGUGAAAUCCGUAGAUAUUAGAAGGAACACCAAUGGCGUAGGCAGGUUACUGGACCGUUUCUGACACUGAGGCACGAAAGCGUGGGGAGCGAACCGGAUUAGAUACCCGGGUAGUCCACGCCGUAAACGAUGGAUACUAGCUGUUGGGGGUAUCGACCCCCCCAGUAGCGAAGCUAACGCGUUAAGUAUCCCGCCUGUGGAGUACGGUCGCAAGACUAAAACAUAAAGGAAUUGACGGGGACCCGCACAAGCGGUGGAUUGUGUUCUUUAAUUCGAUGAUAAACGAAGAACCUUACCAGGGUUUGACAUCCCAAGAAUUAAUCCGAAAGGAUUGAGUGCUUUAUUGAACUUGGUGACAGGUGAUGCAUGGCCGUCGUCAGCUCGUGUCGUGAGAUGUUUGGUUAAGUCCAUCAACGAGCGCAACCCUUGUGAUUAGUUGUAUUUUUCUAAUCAGACUGCCCCGGUAACGGGGAGGAAGGAGGGGAUGAUGUCAGGUCAGUAUUUCCCUGACAUCCUGGGCUAGAAACGCAAUACAAUGGCCGGUACAAUGUGCAGCGAAGCCGCGAGGUGAAGCAAAUCACAUCAAAACCGGUCCCAGUUCAGAUAAGAGGCUGAAACUCGCCUCUUUGAAGUCGGAAUCGCUAGUAAUCGCAGAUCAGCAAGCUGCGGUGAAUACGUUCCCGGGUCUUGUACACACCGCCCGUCAAACCAUGAAAGUGACCAACACCCGAAGUCCGAUUCGUCGGCCUAAGGUGGGGGGCAUGAUUGGGGUU